RNAcentral lists this ribosomal RNA (752 nucleotides) under Vincentrachia desmonda. Its description in RNAcentral is "partial 16S ribosomal RNA". Lineage: Eukaryota; Metazoa; Mollusca; Gastropoda; Stylommatophora; Camaenidae. The record is from RNAcentral.
CACGAAAGUAAGUGAGCUAAUUAGUUAUAAUUUUUAGAUUUCUUUAUGUAGCAUAAUAAAAGCAAAUAACUAUUUAGGGGUGAUAGGCCUGUCAAACUUGCAGAUAUCUUGAUAUUUUGGAAAAACAUUUAGUGUUAAGAAAAUUAAGUAGUGAUAAGGCUAUUUAAUACCAUAAAUAAUAGCAUUAUUCUUUUUCCUGUUUUAAUCGUCAGAAUCUUACAUUUCCAAUUAUUAAUUUUAAAGAAUUUAUGUAUUAUACAAAAUUAUAUUAGAACAUGUUUUCAUAUCAAAAAUGUAACUAUAAGUAGUCUUUAAGUUAUUAAACAUGAACUCGGCAAAUUAGUCCUUCAACUGUUUAUCAAAAACAUAGCUAUAUGUUUUUAUAUAUAGUAAUUUCUGCUCAAUGAGGAAUUAAAUAGCCGCAGUACUCUGACUGUGCAAAGGUAGCGUAAUAAUUUGGCUUAUAAUUGAAGUCUGGUAUAAAUGAAAGUUUUGGGGGGCAACUUUAUUUUUAAUAUUUAUUGAAAUUACUUUAUAAGUGCAAAAUCUUAUUACUAAACGAUAGACGAGAAGACCCUUGAAAUUUUUAUAAAAUAGUAUAACUUUUUUUUGUUGGGGCAACAAAGUAACAAAGAAUUUACUUUAUUUAACAAGAAUAUAUAUAAGACAGAUUAAAUUACUCAAGGGAUAACAGCGUAAUUUAUAUUAGAGCUUGCGACCUCGAUGUUGGACUAGGAAACAAUUGUUUAGAA